AGAAAGUGAAACUGGUACUAAAUCGACCCAUCCAGGUUCACCAUCUGGACUGAGGGAUGUGCCAGGAAAUGAGCAGCUGUGAUGGUAACCUAUAUUUCUCCUCAAAUGAGUCAGUGUGCAACAGAAACAAGUGAAUACUUCUACCAGACAUCAGUUUGGUAGCUUGUAGGACUAGCAUCACCUGAGCAGACUGAAAUGGCACAUGAAGUGAAUGGCAGCUGGCUGAAAAGGUUUGAGAGAGAGAGAAGAGGGUUCAUGUUUUUUCAUCUAUUCUGUGUCUUGUUAACAAGACAACCCUUUCAUCUCAUUUUGAUGAAUGGUGUGAACACAGACCCAGGUUGUUACCCAUCUUCAGUGACAGGCAUGACUUUAGAGACUUCCUUGAUACCCUAUCCUCCAUCUGUAACAGGAUAAAUACCUUGAAGGUGCAAGAGUGAAGUGGCCCACAGAAGUACCAUAGACCUGUUAGGAUGCAUGGAGGAGGAACAGCUACUUGUAUCUUUCCACUGGAUGAUUGGAAAAGGACAAACAUAGUACCCAUACUUAAGAAAGAGAAAAAGGAGGAUCCAGGGAACUACAGAGCUGUCAGCUUCACCUCAGCCCCUGGAAAAAUCAUGGACUAGUUCCUCAAGGAAUCCAUCUCAAAGCACUUGGAGGAGAAAAAGGUUAUUAAGAACAGUCAGCAUGGAUUCACCAGCAGCAAAUCAUGCCUGACUAACUUGAUUGUCUUCUAUGCUAAGAUGACUGGCUCUGUGGAUGCAAGAAGACUAAUGGAUAUGGUGUAGCUUGGCCUUUGAUAUGGUAUCCCACAACAUUCUUGCAGGCAAGCUAAGAAAGUAUGGGCUGGGUGAAUGGACUGUAAGGUGAAUAGAAAACUUGCUGGAGCAUUGGGCUGAAUAUGAGUCAGUAGUGUGCCCUUGUUGCCAAGAAUGUUAAUGGUGUACUGGGCUGCAUAUUUAGGUGUGUUGCCAGUAGGUCAAGGAAAGUGAUUAGUCCUCUCCAUUCAGCACUGGUGAGGCCACAUCUGGAGGACUGUGUUCAGUUUUGGGCCCCCCACUGCAGAAAGGAUGUGGACAAAUUGGAGGGAG
RNAcentral lists this long non-coding RNA (1088 nucleotides) under Crocodylus porosus (Australian saltwater crocodile). RNAcentral's name for it is "lncRNA (ENSCPRG00005013424.1)". The record is from RNAcentral. Lineage: Eukaryota; Metazoa; Chordata; Crocodylia; Crocodylidae.